AUUGAACGCUGGCGGCAUGCCUUACACAUGCAAGUCGAACGGUAACAGGUCUUCGGAUGCUGACGAGUGGCGAACGGGUGAGUAAUACAUCGGAACGUGCCUAGUAGUGGGGGAUAACUACUCGAAAGAGUGGCUAAUACCGCAUGAGAUCUACGGAUGAAAACAGGGGAUCGCAAGACUUUGUGCUACUAGAGCGGCCGAUGGCAGAUCAGGUAGUUGGUGGGAGAAAAGCUUACCAAGCCGACGAUCUGUAGCUGGUCUGAAGGGACGAUCAGCCACACUGGGACUGAGACAAGGCCCAGGAUCCGACAGGAGGCAGCAGUGGGGAAUUUUGGACAAUGGGCGAAAGCCUGAACCAGCAAUGCCGCGUGCAGGAUGAAGGCCUUCGGGUUGUAAACUGCUUUUGUACGGAACGAAAAGCCCCGGGUUAAUACCCUGGGGUCAUGACGGUACCGUAAGAAUAAGCACCGGCUAACUACGUGCCAGCCGCCGCGGUAA
RNAcentral lists this ribosomal RNA (498 nucleotides) under uncultured bacterium. Its description in RNAcentral is "partial 16S ribosomal RNA". It matches the Rfam family "Bacterial small subunit ribosomal RNA", at positions 30 to 523 of the family's 1533-position model. The record is from RNAcentral.